AGAAGAUUUUGAAAAUAUCACAUCAGCAUCUAUUUUAUUGCUGUGAUAUGUUAGUUCAACUAGAUGGACUUACUGAUACUAAAUAUUCCUGCGGAAAGUCUCUAGAAUCAUAAUUAUCUACAUUGACAUGAAAGGAGACCUUUUGCUGCUGAUAUGAACUACACUGAUUAAUUAGUAAUUGAACCUGCCAAGCAAACCUGAUGUAGCAGCUUCAGAACCAGUGGCUUUCUCAAUCUUUCACAGAUUAUUAGUCUGUCUGCCUACACAGAGCAACAGGAUAUUAUCUAUUAUGGAUUACCUUUCAGUGAAGAAGUUGCAGGGGAGACACUGCUCCAGUAUCGUCCAGUUGCUACUGCUGCUUUUCAUCUGCCUGUAACAACACGAGUUGUGGAAGUGAACCAAGAAACAACUUGUAAGGAAGUCACUGGCUCUGUCUUUUCCUUGAACCAUGAGUGUAGAAAAGAAGAACUCCUAAACUGAUACAAGAUGUGGGACAACAGACCUUGCCAGAAAGCUUGUUAAGAGAGAGCAGGUCGUAGAUCCUGGACACUCGAGUACACACCUGGGAUGAUAGGUGUCUCCCUGCUCCUGCCAGACUCCUAUCCUGGAACACAGGCUACACUCCCACAUCUGUCAUGUAGCCUAAAACAUAAUUCUCCAUAGUGAUGAGGUACCUGGAAAUCCUGAGGAUUUAGUCAGUAAGCCCCUCUUCCUGGGCAUUCCUUUGUGAGAAAGAUAUUUAAUCUCUGGUCCAUCCUGAGAAGUUGAUUUGCAUCCAUUUUCCAUGACUAACAACCAAUAAACAAUUUGGAACUAAA
Molecule: long non-coding RNA, 818 nt
Organism: Mastomys coucha (southern multimammate mouse)
Lineage: Eukaryota; Metazoa; Chordata; Mammalia; Rodentia; Muridae
Exons: 3
Source: RefSeq, a predicted model, not a curated record